GAAUAACUAUUCUUGCUUUGAUACCAUUUUUUAAAAUGUUUUUGCUUUAUUUUAUUUUUUUCAUCAAAGUGGCCAAUCCGAUGGCUCAAUAAAAGUAUGUAGUCUCAAGUCCAACGUCAAAAACAUUGGACAAAUUUUGUGUAUGGCUCUUUCAAGAUGUACGUUGACUUUCAAAAAGCUCUCUCCUGAUUGGAGAGAGUGGUUGCCAUAGAAACAUUGACUCAGAUCAACUUGGACCAAUCACCGCUUACCGACGACAGCUGAAUCCAACAUGGCAAAAAAAAAAAAGGUGACUAAAUUGACUUAAUUUCAUUGGAUCCAGAAUUAAGUAACUCUUUAUGAAUGACAUCACACUCACUUGCUCCAGUUCUCAUAUACAGUCAAUAUAUGUUUUCAAUUAUUCAGUGAAACGUUGUUAUUUUGUAAAGGAAACAGUAACAGCAGGUAAAACAGCCUUCACAACAGCUUCCCGCCUGUUUCUAAGAACCCCUCCUGAAGGGAGUUCAGCAGCAGGUGCAGAGAUCUCUAAUUCUGUCCCACCUCCCAACCGCCACUGGAAUCCCACAAUGCCGCUGGUGACCCCAUUAAAAAUGAAGGUUACAACAGCAAGCCACAGGCUUCUCGCUCCAUGAUGCAUCUACUUGUGGACGAUUAGAUCCACGGCCAGAAUGGCAUCUGGAUUACGGCGGGAAAGCUCUAAUGGUGCUCGCCAUUUUUGUCGAUGUUCGGUUGGGGGGGUUUGAGGAGGUGUAAGCACGUGUGAGUGUAAACAGAGGGAUGAUGGGAAGAAGGCGGGCUUACUUCCACGUCAAUGGUCCCAAAAUCAUGAUUAAAAGUUACUUACUG
Molecule: long non-coding RNA, 846 nt
Organism: Oryzias melastigma (Indian medaka)
Lineage: Eukaryota; Metazoa; Chordata; Actinopteri; Beloniformes; Adrianichthyidae
Exons: 2
Source: RefSeq, a predicted model, not a curated record